CGAGCCGGCUCCGCCCCCCCUCCCCGCCUCCGGUGACGCCCCGCGCCGGGCAGCGGCCGCGCCUCCGGGCUCCCACCGCCGGGAGUCCUCGGGCCCGCACGCCGCCAGCUCCCUCCCGGCGGUCUCCGGCUCGGCCGCGCGAUUCCUGCCAACUCUCCACGCCCGGCCCCUCCUCCCGGCCCCUCCUCCCGCGCCCGACCGCCGGGCUCCGCCCCAGCCCGAGACUGGGCGCCUGCUGCCCCCGCGCCAAGCCCCCGUCCGUACCCCUCCCCACCGACAGCUCUGCGCGGGUCCGCAGGGCCGAGUGUUUGCAGCCUUCCACGAGAAGAAGAGAGAAGAAAAGAGAGAGAGAGAAACAUCAAUGAUGAGAGAGGAUCAUUGACCAGCUGUUUCCUGAAUGACCCCUACUGUGGACAAAGCCUGACACUGGAGUAUGUGCCUCAAGGGAAUCCAACCGUGAUCUCCUGGUUCAUAGGGCACCCUCAACCACGGAGCCACACCAGUGGGCGAUCUCUCUAUCACUCCUGGUUGAGAUGCCAAGUUGCCAGUCAGGAGGCUGGAAAGCCCAAGAUCAAGACACCAGCAGAUUCAGUAUCUGGUAAGAGCCGGCUUCCUGGUUCAUAGAAGGUGUCUUUUUUUUCUGUGUCCUCAUGCGGUGGAAGAG
Myotis daubentonii (Daubenton's bat) is the source of this 664-nucleotide long non-coding RNA. RefSeq lists it as uncharacterized. NCBI's taxonomy places the organism in Eukaryota, Metazoa, Chordata, Mammalia, Chiroptera, Vespertilionidae. The record is from RefSeq and is a predicted model, not a curated record. The transcript has 3 exons.